Molecule: ribosomal RNA, 253 nt
Filed under: uncultured prokaryote
Description: partial 16S ribosomal RNA
Rfam family: Bacterial small subunit ribosomal RNA
Source: RNAcentral
ACGGAGGGAGCAAGCGUUACUCGGAAUUAUUAGGCGUAAAGGGCAGGUAGGUGGUCUCAUUUGUCUGGGGUGAAAGCCUUGAGCUUAACUCAAGAAGUGCCCCAGAAACGGUGAGACUAGAGUUCUGGAGAGGGUCGUGGAAUUCCCGGUGUAGCGGUGAAAUGCGUAGAGAUCGGGAGGAACACCAGAGGCGAAGGCGGCGUCCUGGACCAACACUGACACUGAGGAGCGAAAGCCAGGGGAGCAAACGGGA